GUAGGUGAACCUGCGGAAGGAUCAUUAAUGAAACUUCAAAGUCGGCUUGUCUAUCUGUGCUGGUGGAGACACAUGUGCACGUUGACAGGUCGCAAAUCCACACACCUGUGCAUCUAUGACUCUGAGUACCGCUUUGCAUGGCCCUUAUCGGGCCUGGUACUCGGGUACUUUACACACUCUGAAUGUAAUGGAAUGUCUUUUUGUACAACUAAAACAACUUUCAACAACGGAUCUCUUGGCUCUC
RNAcentral lists this unclassified non-coding RNA (244 nucleotides) under rhizosphere metagenome. RNAcentral's name for it is "partial ribosomal RNA internal transcribed spacer region". The record is from RNAcentral.